GACGAGCCACACGAACGUUAUUCGGAAUUACUGGGCUUAAAGGGUGCGUAGGCUGCUCGGUAAGUUGGGUGUGAAAUCCCUCGGCUCAACCGAGGAACUGCGCCCAAAACUACCGUGCUCGAGGAAGAUAGAGGUAAGCGGAACUUACGGUGGAGCGGUGAAAUGCGUUGAUAUCGUAAGGAACACCUGUGGCGAAAGCGGCUUACUGGGUCUUUUCUGACGCUGAUGCACGAAAGCUAGGGGAGCAAACGGG
RNAcentral lists this ribosomal RNA (253 nucleotides) under uncultured bacterium. RNAcentral describes it as "partial 16S ribosomal RNA". It matches the Rfam family "Bacterial small subunit ribosomal RNA", at positions 524 to 776 of the family's 1533-position model. The record is from RNAcentral.